GCGUAACAAGGUUUCCGUAGGUGAACCUGCGGAAGGAUCAUUGU
Molecule: ribosomal RNA, 44 nt
Filed under: Uraria picta
Lineage: Eukaryota; Viridiplantae; Streptophyta; Magnoliopsida; Fabales; Fabaceae
Description: partial 18S ribosomal RNA
Rfam family: Eukaryotic small subunit ribosomal RNA
Source: RNAcentral